UACGUAGGGUGCGAGCGUUAAUCGGAAUUACUGGGCGUAAAGCGUGCGCAGGCGGCGCGUUAAGACAGGUGUGAAAGCCCCGAGCUUAACCUGGGAAUGGCAUUUGGGACUGCAAGGCUUGAGUGCGGCAGAGGAGACUGGAAUUCCUGGUGUAGCAGUGAAAUGCGUAGAUAUCAGGAGGAAUACCGAUGGCGAAGGCAGGUCUCUGGGCUGACACUGACGCUCAUGCACGAAAGCGUGGGGAGCAAACAGG
Molecule: ribosomal RNA, 253 nt
Filed under: uncultured bacterium
Lineage: Bacteria
Description: partial 16S ribosomal RNA
Rfam family: Bacterial small subunit ribosomal RNA
Source: RNAcentral